UUUCUAAAAGAAAAGGUAUAUGUAAUAGUACAUAAUAGAGUAACAAUUGUAACUCAAGUCUUUUUUUUUCCUUUUUACUCAAAGCAUAAACCAGACACAAUACGUUAUACCAGAUUAACAUGCAACUUAAAAAGAGGUUAAUGUACAUACUAAGCAUGGAAAUUCACCAGUAAAAUCUCAUUUGUCAUUUUACCCCCACUACCUUGACAUUAUUCUUCCAUUUCAUAAUCAACAAGGUUCUACUUCUGGUCACCUGAUAAAUGCCUUGCAUUCCUGGAGCUUGACAUUUCAGUCAAUUAUGGACACAAGAACAAUGUUACAAGCAUAAAGAAAAAAUGCAUCUACGAAACAGCUGACUGCACUGCUUUCAAUGGAAAGGUCCUGAAGCAUUAUUUCCCUAAACACCUAACACAUCAGCACUGACCAAAUAAAAACCACCCAAGCACUCUAAAAUUCUCACUUUUUCAAACAUUCCUUGUGUGUAAAAUUUUCUAAGCAUACAGAGAAACACAAGUUCACAAAAUGAUAAAAAGAUAAGACAAAAUUUCUGCCUCUUCUUGAAUGCAAAUCUUGAGUCAAAACCUUUUAUUGUUUUGGAAAUUCAAAUACAAGAAACCUAAGGUUUUCUUAUUUGCUUGUCAAUAUGCAUAGAGCCCAAUUGGCAGGGAUGGAGAGGGGACGGGGGAAGGUGUUAUACAAACAGACUAGGUGGAACCCAUUUUUACCUAGGCUUCUCUAGGACAAUAUGAUAAACAAGAAAGAUUAGUAUCUACUAGAAGAAUUUGUCAUAUUUAAAAUCAAUAUGAUUAGUAAAAUGUAUUUUAAGUACAAAUUAAAAUGAUUAGUAUACAUUUCUCUCAUCUCUAGCAAACAAGAGAGCCCUCAUUAGACAUAGCUGCCUCCUCAAUGCUGUAUCUUGGACAUUAGCCUAAAAAAAUAUCUUUAAAAGUGCUUUGCAGGUAUCACCUCAUCUCAUGGAACCAUAGAGGGAUCUAAGAAAAGGCUACUCCAAUCUAAAGGACUAUUUUCAAGCAAAAAUAGAGGAAUUCUGUGUAUCAUCAAUGAAAGAAGUUUAGGGGAAGGGUAUAGUACAUAUUACAAUAAUUUAAAAUCAUACGCACAUUUCACUUUCCAUGCACGAUGAUUUUAACAUGAAACAAUGUAACUAUACAUCACUGAAAAUACAAUCAAGCUUUGCCCCAGAACUUACAGCCACUCUCUAUAGUCAGUUAAGAAAAACCCUGGAAGAAUAUAUGAUAAAUGUAUUCAGAUUCUAUUAGUUUUAUUUGUAAGCAGAUUCUAAACAAAGAGGAUGAAUUUGGGCACAUAUACACAUGCACAAAUGAAAUGGUUCAACAUCUAAAUGAUAUGACACAAAAUUACCACUAUGAGAAUCAAGAGGCUACUCUUAUGCAAGCAACAAACUUUUACUUAUGAUUUCAAACAUACAGUUUAAUUUUCUGUUAAAACUGUUUUAAAAAACAGUACUAGGGUUCAGUUUUCUAGUCUCGGCAUGAACUAAUGCCAGGGACCUAUUUGAAUUAGGAAAGAGACAAAAUGGUGUGAUUCGUGCUUCAUUACAUCAUGGUUUGUUGAGGGUUAGGUGAAUAUCUUCCAUUUCAAGACUUUUUAUUUAGGCCAGGCGCGGUGGCUCACACCUGUAAUCCCACCACUUUAGGAGGUUGAGGCGGGCAGAUUACGAGGUCAGGAGAUUGAGACCAUCCUGGCUAACACGGUGAAACCCCAUCUCUACUAAAAAUACAAAACAUUAGCCGGGCGUAGUGGCAGGCGCCUGCAGUCCCAGCUACUUGUGAGGCUGAGGCAGGACAACCGGCGUGAACCCAGGAGGCAGAGGUUGCAGUGAGCCGAGAUCGCGCCACUGCACUCCAGCCUGGACGACAAAGUGAGACUC
Molecule: long non-coding RNA, 1912 nt
Organism: Homo sapiens (human)
Lineage: Eukaryota; Metazoa; Chordata; Mammalia; Primates; Hominidae
Source: Ensembl